GGGCCGCUAGCUCAACUGGCAGAGCAUCGGACUUUUAAUCCGCUGGUUGCAGGUUCGAGUCCUGCGCGGCCCACCA
This 76-nucleotide transfer RNA is filed under the name Actinomycetota bacterium. RNAcentral's name for it is "Actinobacteria bacterium tRNA-Lys". It matches the Rfam family "tRNA". Rfam says of the family: Transfer RNA (tRNA) molecules are approximately 80 nucleotides in length. The record is from RNAcentral. Lineage: Bacteria; Bacillati; Actinomycetota. RNAcentral also lists the same sequence under 1 other name.